Molecule: transfer RNA, 90 nt
Filed under: Polyplosphaeria fusca
Lineage: Eukaryota; Fungi; Ascomycota; Dothideomycetes; Pleosporales; Tetraplosphaeriaceae
Rfam family: tRNA
About the family: Transfer RNA (tRNA) molecules are approximately 80 nucleotides in length. Their secondary structure includes four short double-helical elements and three loops (D, anti-codon, and T loops).
Source: Rfam by way of RNAcentral
GCGAGCGUAGUCUAGUGGUUAUGAUGUCUGCUUUACAUUGCUAUAAUGUGAGAGCGCAGAAGGUCGGGAGUUCGAUCCUCCCCGCUCGUA